This 503-nucleotide ribosomal RNA is filed under the name uncultured Alphaproteobacteria bacterium. Its description in RNAcentral is "bacterial SSU rRNA". It matches the Rfam family "Bacterial small subunit ribosomal RNA", at positions 1 to 546 of the family's 1533-position model. The record is from RNAcentral. Lineage: Bacteria; Pseudomonadati; Pseudomonadota; Alphaproteobacteria.
UCCGCGGCCGCAGAGUUUGAUCAUGGCUCAGAACGAACGCUGGCGGCAUGCCUAACACAUGCAAGUCGAACGAGACCUUCGGGUCUAGUGGCGCACGGGUGCGUAACGCGUGGGAACCUGCCUUGAGGUUCGGAAUAACUCAGAGAAAUUUGAGCUAAUACCGGAUGAUGUCUUCGGACCAAAGAUUUAUCGCCUUUAGAUGGGCCCGCGUUGGAUUAGCUAGUUGGUGGGGUAAAGGCCUACCAAGGCGACGAUCCAUAGCUGGUCUGAGAGGAUGAUCAGCCACACUGGGACUGAGACACGGCCCAGACUCCUACGGGAGGCAGCAGUGGGGAAUAUUGGACAAUGGGCGAAAGCCUGAUCCAGCAAUGCCGCGUGAGUGAUGAAGGCCUUAGGGUUGUAAAGCUCUUUUACCAGGGAUGAUAAUGACAGUACCUGGAGAAUAAGCUCCGGCUAACUCCGUGCCAGCAGCCGCGGUAAUACGGAGGGAGCUAGCGUUGUUC